Molecule: ribosomal RNA, 683 nt
Filed under: uncultured Vibrionaceae bacterium
Lineage: Bacteria; Pseudomonadati; Pseudomonadota; Gammaproteobacteria; Vibrionales; Vibrionaceae
Description: bacterial SSU rRNA
Rfam family: Bacterial small subunit ribosomal RNA
Source: RNAcentral
UAGAGUUUGAUCAUGGCUCAGAUUGAACGCUGGCGGCAGGCCUAACACAUGCAAGUCGAGCGGAAACGACAACAUUGAAUCUUCGGAGGAUUUGUUGGGCGUCGAGCGGCGGACGGGUGAGUAAUGCCUAGGAAAUUGCCUUGAUGUGGGGGAUAACCAUUGGAAACGAUGGCUAAUACCGCAUAAUGCCUACGGGCCAAAGAGGGGGACCUUCGGGCCUCUCGCGUCAAGAUAUGCCUAGGUGGGAUUAGCUAGUUGGUGAGGUAAUGGCUCACCAAGGCGACGAUCCCUAGCUGGUCUGAGAGGAUGAUCAGCCACACUGGAACUGAGACACGGUCCAGACUCCUACGGGAGGCAGCAGUGGGGAAUAUUGCACAAUGGGCGAAAGCCUGAUGCAGCCAUGCCGCGUGUAUGAAGAAGGCCUUCGGGUUGUAAAGUACUUUCAGUUGUGAGGAAGGGUGUGUAGUUAAUAGCUGCGCAUCUUGACGUUAGCAACAGAAGAAGCACCGGCUAACUCCGUGCCAGCAGCCGCGGUAAUACGGAGGGUGCGAGCGUUAAUCGGAAUUACUGGGCGUAAAGCGCAUGCAGGUGGUUCAUUAAGUCAGAUGUGAAAGCCCGGGGCUCAACCUCGGAACUGCAUUUGAAACUGUGAACUAGAGUGCUGUAGAGGGGGGAAUCCCGCG